RNAcentral lists this ribosomal RNA (271 nucleotides) under uncultured bacterium. RNAcentral's name for it is "partial 16S ribosomal RNA". It matches the Rfam family "Bacterial small subunit ribosomal RNA", at positions 524 to 792 of the family's 1533-position model. The record is from RNAcentral.
UACGUAGGGUGCAAGCGUUAAUCGGAAUUACUGGGCGUAAAGCGUGCGCAGGCGGUUUUGUAAGUCUGUCGUGAAAUCCCCCGGGCUCAACCUGGGAAUUGCGAUGGAGACUGCAAGGCUAGAAUCUGGCAGAGGGGGGUAGAAUUCCACGUGUAGCAGUGAAAUGCGUAGAGAUGUGGAGGAACACCGAUGGCGAAGGCAGCCCCCCUGGGUCAAGAUUGACGCUCAUGCACGAAAGCGUGGGGAGCAAACGAGGAUUAGAAACCCGGUG